CUACUGCAGCUGAAUUAUAUUUAACUCUAAGUCUGAAUAUUUCCACAGUAACAUAAGCGAAAUCAAAGGGACGCGUGCCUGCUGGACAGUUYGCCUGGUGAUUACACUGCUAUAAUAACACUGGUGUAACUGGUAAAACUUUCUCCCAGGGACAAAGCCAAAAACUUACCAAAAGAAAAAAACUGAGCAUGAGGAGCUGGGAGGACCUAACUGCUGCUGUUCGGCGCCUCAAUCUGAAGCACAAACAAGCAACAGACUGUAAGGGAAGGAGAGGAGCAGUACUGCCACCAAAAGAAGCCAUUAUCGGCGACCCUGGUCUCUGACAAUGUAGGAAACUGGACCUCGGCCUUUCAGCCCUCGCUGCAGUAUUCCAGCUCAUUUACAAAAAUUCUAAAAUCAAAUUUGAAAAUGUAAUACAGGUAUGACUAAAUAAAUCUAUCGAAAUAGCUUUUUUAGCA
Molecule: long non-coding RNA, 458 nt
Filed under: Dromaius novaehollandiae (emu)
Lineage: Eukaryota; Metazoa; Chordata; Aves; Casuariiformes; Dromaiidae
Description: lncRNA (ENSDNVG00000013285.1)
Source: RNAcentral